GGGGCAAGCGUUGUUCGGAAUUACUGGGCGUAAAGGGCGUGUAGGCGGCCAACUAAGUCCGACGUGAAAUCCCCAGGCUUAACCUGGGAACUGCGUCGGAUACUGGAUGGCUUGAAUCCGGGAGAGGGAUGCGGAAUUCCAGGUGUAGCGGUGAAAUGCGUAGAUAUCUGGAGGAACACCGGUGGCGAAGGCGGCAUCCUGGACCGGCAUUGACGCUAAAGCGCGAAAGCCAGGGGAGCAAACGGG
This 246-nucleotide ribosomal RNA is filed under the name uncultured bacterium. RNAcentral's name for it is "partial 16S ribosomal RNA". It matches the Rfam family "Bacterial small subunit ribosomal RNA", at positions 531 to 776 of the family's 1533-position model. The record is from RNAcentral.